This 488-nucleotide ribosomal RNA is filed under the name uncultured bacterium. RNAcentral describes it as "bacterial SSU rRNA". It matches the Rfam family "Bacterial small subunit ribosomal RNA", at positions 27 to 507 of the family's 1533-position model. The record is from RNAcentral.
GGACGAACGCUGGCGGCGUGCUUAACACAUGCAAGUCGAACGAGAGGAGAAGGAAGCUUGCUUCUUCAAAUCUAGUGGCAAACGGGUGAGUAACACGUAAACAACCUGCCUUCAGGAUGGGGACAACAGACGGAAACGACUGCUAAUACCGAAUACGUUCCUUAGGUCGCAUGAUCUUAGGAAGAAAGGGUGGCCUCUACCUGUAAGCUAUCGCCUGAAGAGGGGUUUGCGUCUGAUUAGGUAGUUGGUGAGGUAACGGCUCACCAAGUCGACGAUCAGUAGCCGGACUGAGAGGUUGAACGGCCACAUUGGGACUGAGAUACGGCCCAGACUCCUACGGGAGGCAGCAGGUGGGGAAUAUUGGGCAAUGGGCGAAAGCCUGACCCAGCAACGCCGCGUGAAGGAAGAAGGCUUUCGGGUUGUAAACUUCUUUACCAGGGACGAAGGACGUGACGGUACCUGGAGAAAAAGCCACGGCUAACUACGUG